CCUCUCUCAGACUGAAGUAGAAUGAGUAAGCUUGAAGCAAUUUCUAGCUGAAGUAAUGUUGGUGAGAAAACCCCCCAAAGGUGUUCAGUCACUUUUACGAGAACAAAAGCCCUCCUCGUCCAUGCUAUUUCAGCAGGAAAGAUGGCAAGAGGAGAAACGUGCACAGGGAAGCCCCAACACUCCUCCUGCUCCCCAGGGCCCUGGCCAGGGCCAGAUCAAAUGGUGGAGGACCCAAAGUUGUUUUUAAAAACGUGCGGCAGCCUCAGACUGCAAAAGCAGCCCAGCUUCCUUCUCACUUUAGCACCCCAAUGCAGGAGGAAACCCUGGUAUAAAGGAACAGAUGCAAAAUAGAAGACUGAAGAAAAUACAGCCUGCAGAAAGAACAUAAUUAUUAUUAUAGGCAUAAUAAAUUCCAUGUACAAAUUAAUAAACAGUAUAAAAC
Molecule: long non-coding RNA, 442 nt
Organism: Hemicordylus capensis (graceful crag lizard)
Lineage: Eukaryota; Metazoa; Chordata; Lepidosauria; Squamata; Cordylidae
Exons: 3
Source: RefSeq, a predicted model, not a curated record